GAAACGGGAAUUAAUACUCCAUAAUAUUAACUGGUGGCAUCACCGGUUGAUUAAAGCUUUUUGUGGUUAGAGAUGGGCAUGCGUAACAUUAGUUAGUUGGUGAGGUAACGGCUCGCCAAGGCAACGAUGUUUAGGGGGCCUGAGAGGGUGGUCCCCCACACUGGUACUGAGACACGGACCAGACUCCUACGGGAGGCAGCAGUGAGGAAUAUUGGUCAAUGGGCGGAAGCCUGAACCAGCCAUCCCGCGUGCAGGAAGACGGCCCUAUGGGUUGUAAACUGCUUUUCUGAAGGAAGAAUAACCAUGUGUUUCGCGUGGGAUGACGGUACUUCAGGAAUAAGCAUCGGCUAACUCCGUGCCAGCAGCCGCGGUAAUACGGAGGAUGCAAGCGUUAUCCGGAUUUAUUGGGUUUAAAGGGUGCGUAGGCGGGCUAAUUAGUCAGUGGUGAAAUCUUUCGGCUCAACCGGGAAACUGCCAUUGAUACUGUUAGUCUUGAGUUAGGUUGAGGUAGGCGGAAUGUGUAAUGUAGCGGUGAAAUGCUUAGAUAUUACACAGAACACCGAUUGCGUAGGCAGCUUA
RNAcentral lists this ribosomal RNA (579 nucleotides) under uncultured bacterium. RNAcentral describes it as "bacterial SSU rRNA". It matches the Rfam family "Bacterial small subunit ribosomal RNA", at positions 153 to 728 of the family's 1533-position model. The record is from RNAcentral.